Long non-coding RNA from Zophobas morio, 330 nucleotides. RefSeq lists it as uncharacterized. The record is from RefSeq and is a predicted model, not a curated record. NCBI's taxonomy places the organism in Eukaryota, Metazoa, Arthropoda, Insecta, Coleoptera, Tenebrionidae. The transcript has 3 exons.
AAACUUGCGAGCUAUAAAAAUAAUAUGAAGAGAGUUACUUCGAGAUUAAAGCAUGCUGUAGCAUCGCAGCCUAGUCUUUUGUUUCGGUUUGAGUUGCACAUAAACAAAGUGCUGAUCAAUUUUAACGAGGAUCCCUCCUCUCAAACAAGGACGUUCAUCUUAGGAUUGAAGCGGAGAGCUAAACUUCUUUAUACUAAUAAACAAACCUUAACCCUGCUACCCGGUGGUAGUGGCGCAGAAAUAAAUUUUAAUCAGAAUUUGACCUUACUUUCCACUUUGUUUAAGGAAAAAGAUAAAUUUGAAAAAAAGGAGUACAAAAUAAUUUUGGAG